Molecule: ribosomal RNA, 966 nt
Filed under: Triticum aestivum (bread wheat)
Lineage: Eukaryota; Viridiplantae; Streptophyta; Magnoliopsida; Poales; Poaceae
Description: partial small subunit ribosomal RNA
Source: RNAcentral
AUGACAAAUGGCUAUGUCAAGAGCUGGAUGAAGGAGCUCAAAUCCAUCGCCUACAAGGCCGAUGACGUGCUCGACGACUUCCAGUACGAGGCGCUGCGCCGCCAUUCUAAGAACGGCAGGUCCACUUCCCAGAAGGUACAUGGCUAUAUCACGCGCCGCAGCCCGCUGCUCUUCCGUUUUGAAAUGAGCAGGAAACUCAAGACCAUCCUCGAGAAGACUAAUAAGUUGCUUGAGGAGAUGAACAAGUUUGGUCUGGAGAAUUCUGUCCAUCGGGAGGAGCCACAACAUCCUUGGCGGCAGACACACUCAAAACUGGACGACUCUACCAAAAUCUUUGGAAGAGAAUAUGAUAAGGAGGUGGUGGUGAAGUUGUUGUUGGACCAGCAAGAUCAGCAUAAGGUGCAGGUGUUGCCCAUCAUUGGGAUGGGAGGUCUUGGCAAGAUGACUCUUGCUAAGAUGGUGUAUAAUGACCAAGAGGUUCAGCAACAUUUCCAGUUGAAGAUGUGGCAUUGUGUGUCAGACAACUUUGAUCCAAUUGCUCUUUUGAAAUCCAUCAUUCAGUUGGCUGAAAAUAAAAGAUCUGACAUGCCUGACACCAUUGAGAUGUUGCGAAAGCAACUUGAGGGACUCAUUGGCCAAAAAAGGUUUAUUCUAUUUCUUGAUGAUGUGUGGAAUGAGAACAAAAGGAUAUGGGAGGAUGAACUGAAGCCUCUUUUGUGUUCUGUUGGUGGACCAGGAAGCAUAAUAGUCGUCACAACUCGAAGCCAGAAAGUGGCCUCUAUAAUGCAGACCCUUCGACCCCAUCAGCUAGAAUGUCUAAAUGAGCAAGAUUCAUGGGAAUUGUUUGCACAUAAAGCAUUUAGCAAUGGUGUAGAGGAGCAAGCAGAGUUAGCCAGCAUCGGAAGGCGUAUUGUCAAUAAAUGCGGGGGGUUGCUCUUGCUCUCAAGACAAUGGGUGGAUUGCUGA